CCUACGGGUGACAGCAGUGAGGAAUAUUGGUCAAUGGACGAGAGUCUGAACCAGCCAAGUAGCGUGAAGGAUGACUGCCCUAUGGGUUGUAAACUUCUUUUAUAUGGGAAUAAACUGUUCCACGUGUGGGAUUGUGUAUGUACCAUAAGAAUAAGGAUCGGCUAACUCCGUGCCAGCAGCCGCGGUAAUACGGAGGAUCCGAGCGUUAUCCGGAUUUUUUGGGUGUAAAGGGAGCGUAGGGGGAUUGUUAAGGCAGUUGUGGAAGUUUGCGGCUCAACCGUAAAAUUGCAGUUGAACCUGGCAGUCUUGAGUACAGUAGAGGUGAGCGGAAUUCGUGGGGUAGCGGUGA
RNAcentral lists this ribosomal RNA (349 nucleotides) under uncultured bacterium. RNAcentral describes it as "partial 16S ribosomal RNA". It matches the Rfam family "Bacterial small subunit ribosomal RNA", at positions 338 to 684 of the family's 1533-position model. The record is from RNAcentral.